AGUGAACGCUGGCGGUAGGCCUAACACAUGCAAGUCGAACGGCAGCACAGUAAGAGCUUGCUCUUACGGGUGGCGAGUGGCGGACGGGUGAGGAAUACAUCGGAAUCUACUUUUUCGUGGGGGAUAACGUAGGGAAACUUACGCUAAUACCGCAUACGACCUACGGGUGAAAGCAGGGGAUCUUCGGACCUUGCGCGAUUGAAUGAGCCGAUGUCGGAUUAGCUAGUUGGCGGGGUAAAGGCCCACCAAGGCGACGAUCCGUAGCUGGUCUGAGAGGAUGAUCAGCCACACUGGAACUGAGACACGGUCCAGACUCCUACGGGAGGCAGCAGUGGGGAAUAUUGGACAAUGGGCGCAAGCCUGAUCCAGCCAUACCGCGUGGGUGAAGAAGGCCUGCGGGUUGUAAAGCCCUUUUGUUGGGAAAGAAAAGCAGAGGUUAAUACCCCGCUGUUCUGACGGUACCCAAAGAAUAAGCACCGGCUAACUUCGUG
This 491-nucleotide ribosomal RNA is filed under the name uncultured bacterium. Its description in RNAcentral is "partial 16S ribosomal RNA". It matches the Rfam family "Bacterial small subunit ribosomal RNA", at positions 29 to 507 of the family's 1533-position model. The record is from RNAcentral.